RNAcentral lists this ribosomal RNA (987 nucleotides) under Corynebacterium efficiens. RNAcentral's name for it is "bacterial SSU rRNA". It matches the Rfam family "Bacterial small subunit ribosomal RNA", at positions 441 to 1440 of the family's 1533-position model. Lineage: Bacteria; Bacillati; Actinomycetota; Actinomycetes; Mycobacteriales; Corynebacteriaceae. The record is from RNAcentral.
AGGGACGAAGCUUUUGUGACGGUACCUGAGAAGAAGCACCGGCUAACUACGUGCCAGCAGCCGCGGUAAUACGUAGGGUGCGAGCGUUGUCCGGAUUUACUGGGCGUAAAGAGCUCGUAGGUGGUUUGUCGCGUCGUCUGUGAAAUCCCGGGGCUCAACUCCGGGCGUGCAGGCGAUACGGGCAUAACUUGAGUGCUGUAGGGGAGACUGGAAUUCCUGGUGUAGCGGUGAAAUGCGCAGAUAUCAGGAGGAACACCAAUGGCGAAGGCAGGUCUCUGGGCAGUAACUGACGCUGAGGAGCGAAAGCAUGGGUAGCGAACAGGAUUAGAUACCCUGGUAGUCCAUGCCGUAAACGGUGGGCGCUAGGUGUAGGGGUCUUCCACGACUUCUGUGCCGCAGCUAACGCAUUAAGCGCCCCGCCUGGGGAGUACGGCCGCAAGGCUAAAACUCAAAGGAAUUGACGGGGGCCCGCACAAGCGGCGGAGCAUGUGGAUUAAUUCGAUGCAACGCGAAGAACCUUACCUGGGCUUGACAUAUACCGGACCGGGCCAGAGAUGGUCUUUCCCUUGUGGCCGGUAUACAGGUGGUGCAUGGUUGUCGUCAGCUCGUGUCGUGAGAUGUUGGGUUAAGUCCCGCAACGAGCGCAACCCUUGUCUUAUGUUGCCAGCACGUGAUGGUGGGCACUCAUGAGAGACUGCCGGGGUUAACUCGGAGGAAGGUGGGGAUGACGUCAAAUCAUCAUGCCCCUUAUGUCCAGGGCUUCACACAUGCUACAAUGGUCGGUACAGCGAGUUGCCACACCGUGAGGUGGAGCUAAUCUCUCAAAGCCGGCCUCAGUUCGGAUUGGGGUCUGCAACUCGACCCCAUGAAGUCGGAGUCGCUAGUAAUCGCAGAUCAGCAACGCUGCGGUGAAUACGUUCCCGGGCCUUGUACACACCGCCCGUCACGUCAUGAAAGUUGGUAACACCCGAAGCCAGUGGCCCAACC